Molecule: small nucleolar RNA, 123 nt
Organism: Prosopis cineraria
Lineage: Eukaryota; Viridiplantae; Streptophyta; Magnoliopsida; Fabales; Fabaceae
Product: small nucleolar RNA SNORD14
Exons: 1
Source: RefSeq, a predicted model, not a curated record
GGCCUAUGAUGAGAACUCCAAAGGCUUGUUUCUCAAAACAUUCGCAGUGGCCGCCUGAGAGCUUUCGCUUUGCCGGGCUUGAGAGCUUGUGCUGCCUUAAUCCUUCCUUGGAUGUCUGAGGCC